AACGGUCCAGCAACCCAAAAUUGACUGGGAGACGACGGCCUAGACCUCUCACGAACUCGCCACAGCACCCUCCAUGCGCCUCAUCCUGCAGUACCUGUUCUUGACCUGUGGGGGGGUGUGAGACAGCAAGAGUGAGCUCACAUACAUUCAUCGCUCAACAAGUUGUGGGGAAUAAUGUGCAUGAACUCGCCAAAGAUGGGAGCUCACGUGAAGUGUAAGGCUUACCAAAGAGGAUGGUUAGAGCUGAGCAUUGCUUUUAAAGUUGGUCAAAAUUUUAUUAGCAAUUACUAAGUAUUAGUAAAUACCAACCCAAUUAAAUAGUAGUACAGAAGUAACAACAUCUCCUGCGAUGCAAUGCAUAUGACAAAUUGAAUUUAAGUUACAUAAAUUAAUCAUGUGAAGGUCCGAGCUGCUCAUGACCGUGAGCACGGCUAGUAUACCAGUUUUACACUCUGUAGAGGUUGCGCAUCUUUACCCACAAGUCAUGUUACCCAUCUGCCAAGGGAUCGCGACUUCCCAUACACCUCUACCGAGGAGGCGAGGCAGGGUAACACUAUGAGGCCUUUACAAAGUUCCACUAGCUUCAGAAAACUCGCUACAGUUUAUAGGAAGCUCCAAUGCAGGGUUCUUGCCUGACCGCCAUCGCAGCAAAAUCAACCAAGGACCUCCCUACACUGACCACUCCCCUACUGCCCUUGCCCCUUUCAGGUAAGGAAGUCAUCCACUAGCUUUCCUAGUUAAUCAGCCAAGGGCGUCCCAUUAUACCCUUGUGGUAGCACUGUUUUCCCGGGUGGUCGCUCCAUGUUCCCAUUAACAUAAUGAUCUUAACAUGAACAUUAAUAAUAAAAAGAUAAUAAAAGUGUAGUGAUUAAUAGUGUAUCUCCAUACCCAAAACCACAAUAAGCGAUAGCAAGUACUACCCGAAAAUAUUCAGUGGCAAAACAAGGUAUAAAGAUAGCCAAAACUGGGGUAACCUAUUGGGUCCCAUCAAAAUUAACCUAUGCAGAUCAUUAUAAUUAAUAAGAACAUGGCUGGGAAAAAGUAAGUGAUCAAGGGCACAACUUGCCUGGCACUUGAGAUUCCAAGUAAAACUUGCUUUUCAGAUGACACGUGUCCUCGCGCUAGUCGUAGCAAUAUAAACAAACAUGAUAUAGAUAAAAUUAACAUCACACCAAACAUAAGUACAAACUGAAUAAUAAUGAUCUACGCGUUGCUACGAGAUCGCGGGAUCGAGAACCACUAAAAUCGGGGUUACGGUUGAGGAGUUAUGAUUUUAUAAACGAUUUAUGUGAUUAAAACAUUAAGCUACAUUAUAAAUUGGUUAGUAUAAAUCAUAUGAGAUAAUAUCUUAUAAAUAAUUAACUCACUUUGAUCUAAGUUAUAAAUGGACCAUAUAUCAUAUUUUAAUAGAUUAUAAUGAUAAGCAGAUUAACAAGAGUAUCCAACAUCAGUUAAAUAUAGAUCUAAUUAUAAAAUAAUGAGAUUUGGUAUAAUAAAUGUUUUUAAUGCGUAGUAAAUUCUUAUACGAAACUAACGCAACUAAAACGAGUCAAUUCAGAAUUAAAACCAAAGAGUUAUGAAUUUCUAAAGGUUUUAUGCGUUUGGUACAAGAUUAAUUGCGAUAUAAAUUUUAAUGUGACUUUCAUGUCAAAACAGAGACACUAGGUGAUAAACAAUAAUAUUAUAAAAUUAUAGAAAUUGGAAUGACUCAAUUUGGAAUUAGUAUGAAUUUUCUAUGAUUUAUACAAGUUCUAGCAAUUAUUUUUGUAUUAAAAUCAAUUUCUAAAUUAAAUAACUGAAUUCUCAGAGUUGUGGACUGGGCGCAUGAAUUCUGGAAAGCGCAGGGGCUCAAGCGUAAGUUUCCAGAGACUCAAUCUACUCCCGCAGUGGACCACGGGUUGAAUAAAUGGUAGGACAGGGGCUCUUUUACAAAUAAGCACGGUGAAGGGGGUAUUCUUAGUUCUCGGCCGUUCGAUCUGAAACUGGCAGUCCAGAUUAGAUCUAAUCUCUCCCGAACCGGUACCAAAUAGUGGCCGCCCGAUCACGAUCCUACGGCUAAGACCCAACGCAUCCCCUGAUCUAAUGUAAGCCGCGCGAUCCCAGAUCCACGCCCUAGACUUAAAACGCCGAGCUGCUUCGUUGACCCAAUCUUAGCCGUCCGCGCUAGGAUCUACGGCACACAAUACAUUCCCCAUAUCAAAUCCUGGCCAUAGAUCCCAUGAUCAACGCCCCCAGAAUCAUCAUCCUCCCUGUGGCUAGCAGGCAGUGAACGACGGCCCCGCAUGGUGGAGUAGCACGCCGGAGUUACCCCGCCUAGCGCAAUGACUAGUGUUGAUAUACUACGCGGAGGUGACUGCGAGUUCACUAGGGAAGGACUCACCUGCGGUUAGGAGCGAAGCCUGGCGUAGUGCAGUCCAUGGCAGUGCAUGUGUCCCCCGCGAGCCAUCACCUCACAACCACGAUCACACAACUCCAGUCUCCAUGACCCCGUGAUCAGCACACGCUAGCAACCCUCCUCGACUAAACUUUGAGGGCUCGGCGAGGGCGAUGAUCGAUCUCUCUCUGUUCCCUUACGCCCGCACUCGACGGUGGCCAUGGCUGUCCUUUCUCACGGCGGCGACGCGCUCUCCCAUCUCUCCCUCUACGUGUUUCUCG
Molecule: long non-coding RNA, 2655 nt
Filed under: Zea mays
Lineage: Eukaryota; Viridiplantae; Streptophyta; Magnoliopsida; Poales; Poaceae
Description: long non-coding RNA (ZMAY_LNC003735)
Source: RNAcentral